AUGAACGCUAGCGACAGGCCUAACACAUGCAAGUCAGGGGCAGCACAAGGAGCAAUCUGAGGUGGCGACCGGCGCACGGGUGAGUAACACGUAUGCAACCUGCCUGUAAGCGGGGAAUAACCCGUUGAAAGACGGACUAAUACCGCAUAAUACUAAAUUACUGCAUGGUAAUUUAUUUAAACAUUUAUGGCUUACAGAUGGGCAUGCGCAUGAUUAGCUAGUUGGAGAGGUAACGGCUCCCCAAGGCAACGAUCAUUAGGGGUUCUGAGAGGAAGGUCCCCCACACUGGUACUGAGACACGGACCAGACUCCUACGGGAGGCAGCAGUGAGGAAUAUUGGUCAAUGGACGAGAGUCUGAACCAGCCAAGUCGCGUGCAGGAAGAAUGUCCUAUGGAUUGUAAACUGCUUUUGCAGGGGAAUAAAGUGCAUCACGUGUGAUGUUUGUAUGUACUCUGCGAAUAAGGAUCGGCUAACUCCGUGCCAGCAGCAGC
Molecule: ribosomal RNA, 492 nt
Filed under: uncultured bacterium
Lineage: Bacteria
Description: bacterial SSU rRNA
Rfam family: Bacterial small subunit ribosomal RNA
Source: RNAcentral